GGAAGGGUAGCCGGACGGAUACAUGCAGUCGAGCGAACAGAUAAGGAGCUUGCUCCUUUGACGUUAGCGGCGGACGGGUGAGUAACACGUGGAUAACCUACCUAUAAGACUGGGAUAACUUCGGGAAACCGGAGCUAAUACCGGAUAAGAUUUUGAACCGCAUGGUUCAAUAGUGAAAGACGGCCUUGCUGUCACUUAUAGAUGGAUCCGCGCCGUAUUAGCUAGUUGGUAAGGUAACGGCUUACCAAGGCAACGAUACGUAGCCGACCUGAGAGGGUGAUCGGCCACACUGGAACUGAGACACGGUCCAGACUCCUACGGGAGGCAGCAGUAGGGAAUCUUCCGCAAUGGGCGAAAGCCUGACGGAGCAACGCCGCGUGAGUGAUGAAGGUCUUCGGAUCGUAAAACUCUGUUAUCAGGGAAGAACAAACGUGUAAGUAACUGUGCACGUCUUGACGGUACCUGAUCAGAAAGCCACGGCUAACUACGUGCCAGCAGCCGCGGUAAUACGUAGGUGGCAAGCGUUAUCCGGAAUUAUUGGGCGUAAAGCGCGCGUAGGCGGUUUUUUAAGUCUGAUGUGAAAGCCCACGGCUCAACCGUGGAGGGUCAUUGGAAACUGGAAAACUUGAGUGCAGAAGAGGAAAGUGGAAUUCCAUGUGUAGCGGUGAAAUGCGCAGAGAUAUGGAGGAACACCAGUGGCGAAGGCGACUUUCUGGUCUGUAACUGACGCUGAUGUGCGAAAGCGUGGGGAUCAAACAGGAUUAGAUACCCUGUAGUCCACGCCGUAACGAUGAGUGCUAGUGUUAGGGGGUUUCGCCCCUUAGUGCUGCAGCUAACGCAUUAGCACUCCGCCUGGGGAGUACGACCGCAGUUGGAUACUCAGAAAAUUUUCGCGG
Molecule: ribosomal RNA, 896 nt
Filed under: Staphylococcus pasteuri
Lineage: Bacteria; Bacillati; Bacillota; Bacilli; Caryophanales; Staphylococcaceae
Description: bacterial SSU rRNA
Rfam family: Bacterial small subunit ribosomal RNA
Source: RNAcentral